UUUAUGUUUUUGAAUCGAUAAAUGGAAAUCGAUGGAAAAUUAUUAGAUUUGAAAACAUAAUAUAUAUUUUCCAUAAAAAUUACUUCGGUUCAAUAGUUUAAAUAUUAAAAUGGUUGGGAAAAUAUGUUAUCGAAAUAAAAGAAAUAGCGUGUAUUUAUUUUUAGCUUAUUUAAAUAAUGUCUCUCACUACAGAAAUUGGUUUUCAAUAUUUUUCAAUUAUAAUUGGAUCUUAAUAAUUGUGGAUAAUUGGAUCUUAUGUCAUAGAAAUGACAUUUGCUUUUAUUGAUAACCAUGCGCACUUAUCAGCAGUGGAAGACAGUCAUGAACAUUGUUUAAGAGAAUAGACAACAAAGCUUUACUGGAAGUGCGACGUGAUUACAAGAUAUUUGGAAUUAGGUAUACGUUAGUAAUUGAAUUUUUAGGUUUUCCUAUAGGUAUUUAAAUAUACUCCUGCUGUGAUAAAUUAGUACUAUGCAGUUUGAAUAUUUUUUAAAUGUAACUCGGUUGACAGUUUUUCUAAAAUAAAUAGGACCGUGUUUUCUCGUUUGGACAUAUAGGAAAUAUUCAGACUACCAUACUCUUAGGUCUUAACGUGGUAAGGAAUAUAUUGAGCUUGUAUGGUUACCGCCAUUUUAACUAAAUGGCCGGAAUAGUUACGCGUUCCGAAUUCGUGUCUUAAUGUUCUUGACCUGGCGGUAUUCAAGCUG
Molecule: long non-coding RNA, 707 nt
Organism: Bombyx mori (domestic silkworm)
Lineage: Eukaryota; Metazoa; Arthropoda; Insecta; Lepidoptera; Bombycidae
Exons: 3
Source: RefSeq, a predicted model, not a curated record